Molecule: long non-coding RNA, 631 nt
Filed under: Capra hircus (goat)
Lineage: Eukaryota; Metazoa; Chordata; Mammalia; Artiodactyla; Bovidae
Description: lncRNA (ENSCHIG00010023534.1)
Source: RNAcentral
CCACCCCACCGCCAACUGAUGCUCUUGGGUGAUCCCAGGUUUGUGACCUCCUGUGGUGUUCUUUUGACCUCCUCUGCUGCUGCUCCCCCACCUCUAGGAAAGCCCGCUGAAUUUGGGUAGGGGCUUCUUCCAGCCCUCCUAAUUCCAGACUCUUCUCCUUUGCCCUUGGCCUGAGCUUGCUUCUAUGACUGGCCUCUUGUGGGUUUUGACAAGACCUCACUUAUUAAGGGACUGAACCUGUGGCUGAAGAGGCAAGGUGAAGGGAUGGGUAAGGUGGCUUCUAGACAUUUUGACAACAAGCAUGACCUUCCUUGAAAACCAGAUUAGGAGGGAUGGGUAUUGUGGAAUGAGGUGCACUUGAAAGAAGAUAUCAACCAGAAUUUUUAUAUCUGAUUUUGAAUGGUUUCUCAUAGUCUCAAUAGAAGAAACAGAGUAAGAAGUGGAGUGGGACCAAGCUGGGUAAGGGAAGCAGCUGGCCAUUUAUUCGCACAUUCGUGAGGAAUAAAGAUUAUGAAUGCUGGACCCAGAUGCCUGAGUUCACAUCCCAGCUGUGUCAGAUUUUUAAUUCUCCUUGAAUUUACUUUUGCUGUCGUCGACUUAAAAAAGACACACUACCUAAGAGCUGGGAGUU